AGCGAACGCUGGCGGCAGGCCUAACACAUGCAAGUCGAACGAAGUCUUCGGACUUAGUGGCGGACGGGUGAGUAACACGUGGGAACGUGCCUUUAGGUUCGGAAUAACUCAGGGAAACUUGUGCUAAUACCGAAUGUGCCCUUCGGGGGAAAGAUUUAUCGCCUUUAGAGCGGCCCGCGUCUGAUUAGCUAGUUGGUGAGGUAAAGGCUCACCAAGGCGACGAUCAGGAGCUGGUCUGAGAGGAUGAUCAGCCACAUUGGGACUGAGACACGGCCCAAACUCCUCCGGGAGGCAGCAGUGGGGAAUCUUGAGCAAUGGGCGAAAGCCUGACGCAGCCAUGCCGCGUGAAUGAUGAAGGUCUUAGGAUUGUAAAAUCCUUUCACCGGGGACGAUAAUGACGGUACCCGGAGAAGAAGCCCCGGCUAACUUCGUGCCAGCCGCCGCGGUAA
Molecule: ribosomal RNA, 449 nt
Filed under: uncultured bacterium
Lineage: Bacteria
Description: partial 16S ribosomal RNA
Rfam family: Bacterial small subunit ribosomal RNA
Source: RNAcentral